Long non-coding RNA from Hibiscus syriacus, 237 nucleotides. RefSeq lists it as uncharacterized. The record is from RefSeq and is a predicted model, not a curated record. The transcript is spliced from 3 exons. Lineage: Eukaryota; Viridiplantae; Streptophyta; Magnoliopsida; Malvales; Malvaceae.
AUAUCGGGAGGAGGAAAAUUUGGCAUCCUUAUCUGGGAUUCAGUUACGGACUGGAUGCUUUUGCAAUCCUGGUGCUUGUACAAAAUAUCUUGGCUUGUCUCACUCAGAUCUUCUUUCUAACUUAGAGGCUGGGCAUGUUUGCUGGGAUGACAAUGAUGUAAUAAAUGGAAAACCAACUGGAGCAGUUACAAUAUCUUUUGGUUACAUGUCUACUUAUGAAGAUGCUAAGGUAGUUAU